Molecule: transfer RNA, 67 nt
Filed under: Cirroctopus glacialis
Lineage: Eukaryota; Metazoa; Mollusca; Cephalopoda; Octopoda; Opisthoteuthidae
Description: tRNA-Ser
Source: RNAcentral
AAGAGUAAUUUAGAAUAAAAUAGAGCUGCUAACUCUGUUUUGAGCAAUUCAAACUGUUCUACUCUUU